UGGGGAAUAUUGCACAAUGGGCGCAAGCCUGAUGCAGCCAUGCCGCGUGUGUGAAGAAGGCCUUCGGGUUGUAAAGCACUUUCAGCGGGGAGGAAGGCGUUAAGGUUAAUAACCUUGGCGAUUGACGUUACCCGCAGAAGAAGCACCGGCUAACUCCGUGCCAGCAGCCGCGGUAAUACGGAGGGUGCAAGCGUUAAUCGGAAUUACUGGGCGUAAAGCGCACGCAGGCGGUCUGUCAAGUCGGAUGUGAAAUCCCCGGGCUCAACCUGGGAACUGCAUUCGAAACUGGCAGGCUAGAGUCGUGUAGAGGGGGGUAGAAUUCCAGGUGGAGCGGUGAAAUGCGUAGAGAUCUGGAGGAAUACCGGUGGCGAAGGCGGCCCCCUGGACAAAGACUGACGCUCAGGUGCGAAAGCGUGGGGAGCGAACAGG
This 429-nucleotide ribosomal RNA is filed under the name Chloroflexota bacterium. RNAcentral describes it as "Chloroflexi bacterium partial 16S ribosomal RNA". It matches the Rfam family "Bacterial small subunit ribosomal RNA", at positions 355 to 776 of the family's 1533-position model. Lineage: Bacteria; Bacillati; Chloroflexota. The record is from RNAcentral.